Felis catus (domestic cat) is the source of this 2269-nucleotide long non-coding RNA. RefSeq lists it as uncharacterized. The record is from RefSeq and is a predicted model, not a curated record. The transcript has 3 exons. NCBI's taxonomy places the organism in Eukaryota, Metazoa, Chordata, Mammalia, Carnivora, Felidae.
UCAAAUCAUCGAAGAAACGUCACAGAACAAAAGGUUUCCUGCCGCAAGGACCCUUAAGAUGAUCUAAGCCAGCAGUUUCAAUCCCGGGAACAGUUUGUCCAAACGGCAAUUCAAGCGGAAGGACACGCACAACGUGACCUCAUCCACACCAGGUCCCCACCACCACCCGUUGUCUGUGAAUCUAGUCCUGCAACCCAGUCCUGAACAUACUACAACCUGCAGCCUGCCAACGCCUGCAACCCAUCCCCUCCCUUGUGUCUGCACGGGCUCGUGAUGGGGAGCGCAGAGCACAAAGAUGAGGCUAUGUUACUUCGGAAGCGAGGUCAUAAAGGGCAUAUGGCUUCUACCCGGUUCCCCUGGGAUGCUCCGUCUCAACAUCUAGCCUCUAUGGCCACGUGGAGGUGCUCUGGCCGACUGAGUUUCGUCUUCAAGUCAACUCAUCCCCGAUCCCAGACCCACGAGUGAAGAAGCCUCCAGACUCCAACCUCAGCCAUUCAAGGUCAGACCCCUGGCCUCUGCUGGAUUCCCGGAACGAACAUGCCCUCCAGUCUGGACACCCCAGUGCUGGCCUCCCAAGGCUGGAGUGGUCUGGCCAGCAUGCAAAUGUCGCCGCGUCCCCGUUGCCUCUGCCUGGUGUGUGAAGUCUCGGAGCCUCUGCCAGCAUCCAGAGCGAAGUCCACAGUCUGCUCCACCCGGCUUAGCAGGUGGUAUGUGAACCGGAUGGGCUCACGUCUCCUGCACACCGCACCCACCCCCCUGCUCUCACCUAGUUCUCCCUGAGAUCCCUGGACACCUGUCCCCCAGGAGCUGCCCUCCGGUGGAGGAGGUCAUGGGGAAGACGUGACUGCCGGCUGACCCGAGAGCUGACCCCGGGGAAGUGGAGGGCCUUCUCCCCCUCCCCUGUCCUGGGAAUGUACAUGCAGUCUCUCCCACACCGUUCCCACAGAGGGAGCCGUCUUUAGGGACAGGGGUUGUGGAGACCACCUCGAUGGCGUAUAUGACCGAACCUCACAAAGGCCUCUCUCUAAACUUUUAAGAUUCUAGAAGGUGGGUUCAGGUAUCUAUUCAUCUUGAGGUACUCAAGAUCAGGCUUGUAAGUAAGUUCUCUUGCUUAUUCAACUUGCCAACAUGGAGUGACCCGCCUCUGUCUUCGGUCUCUCCCUGUCUUCUGUGCGUGCGGUCAGUUUCAGACUACACUCCAAAUGCUCCCGGGUUUGUGAACCAGCAUCCUCUAACUGACCUCACUACACCCACCUGUUAGCCUGUCACAGCGCUGCCCCAACGUGGUGAAAUCCCAAGCAUGGUCAGUCCCCUGCCAAACUGUGGGCUCCUGGUGGGUGGGGACCGUGUUGUGCCCACCUCCACGUCCCCAGCAUUUAGCACAGUAUGUGGUGAAUUAAGGUGGGCCCCAAGUGCCCAGUGACUGCUGUCCUUACAAAAGGAGGAGGCAUGCACUCACACAGUCACACACACACGCACACGCGCACACACACACACACACACACACACACACACACACAGAGCCAUGUGAAGGGAUCAUCUACAAGCCAAGGAAGGCCGAAGAUUGCCAGGAGCCACCAGAAGCUGGGAGAAAGGCACAGGCCAGAUUCUCGCUCAGAGCUCCCAAAAGGAGCCCAUCCAGCGGAAACUUUGAUUUCAGACUUCUGGCCUCCUGAGCUGUGAGAAAAUACACGUCUGCUGUGUGGGGCCCCCGGCUCGCGGUAAUUUGUUAUGGUAGCAUCCAGGAGGGCUGGACCCAGUGUCUACGAUGUGGAGGAGGCAUGGUUCUUUAAGGGUUCUGCAGCCCGGAACGGCAAAAGCUCUGAGGAUACAGUGAUCAGUGCUAAGAAGCAGAGUUCCCUCAUCCCAGGCCUUGCAUUAGACCUCUGGAUGUCUAGGCUCAGAAGUUUGGAUUGGCAUCCUUAGACAAUGGCAGCCAUUGAAGAUUUAAGGGUUUUGAGCUUGGGAAUGCCUUGGGGGCAGUGAAGGGACUUUGGGGGAGAAAGGAACCUGGCUGUAGCUGUGUAUGGUUCUCAAGCAUCUGGCAGCAAGUAAUAGAACCAUGACCUAAAGUGGCUUAAACAAAAUAAUUGUUCUAAUACAACAGAAAGUCUAGAGGUAGGCUUCAGGAACGGUGUGAUCAGGGCUCUGGAUCUACUUAGCUUCAGUUUGUCUCCCCUCAUGGGUACAAGAUGUCGUCCAGAGAAACUUGAGUUAAAAAUACCUUCGUGUUCACGUCCAGUUGGAAAUAAAGAGAAGCUUCCCAGGC